Columba livia (rock pigeon) is the source of this 364-nucleotide long non-coding RNA. RefSeq lists it as uncharacterized. NCBI's taxonomy places the organism in Eukaryota, Metazoa, Chordata, Aves, Columbiformes, Columbidae. The record is from RefSeq and is a predicted model, not a curated record. The transcript has 3 exons.
UGGAGGGAGAAAUAAUGUGGUCUUGUCUUCAUUAGUGUUACACAGUAGCAUCUUUUAUGUGUGAGGCCCCUUGUGGUUCAGUUUCGUCGGGGCUGAGGGCGUCUGCAGGAGUCUGCCGAGCCUCCCUUAUAGAAUCACAGUUUAUUCUAGAAGACUGAUGAACUUCAGAAAUGAGAAUUGUACUUCAAAUCUGAACUUGGCAAAUGAUCUGAAUGUGUUUCCCUUACAGUUUUUGUUACAGAUACAACAUUCAACAAAUCAAGAUAAAUUGGAUAAAAUAAAUCGAAGUAAAUUGGAUAAAAUAAAGCCUGCUUUCUUUCUUUCUUUACAUAGUCUGUUUUUGGAAAUACAUUUUGAAGUGGAA